UAGGGAAUCUUCCGCAAUGGGCGAAAGUCUGACGGAGCAACGCCGCGUGAGUGAUGACGGCCUUCGGGUUGUAAAGCUCUGUUAAUCGGGACGAAUGGCUACCAUGCGAAUAGUUUGGGAGUUUGACGGUACCGGAAUAGAAAGCCACGGCUAACUACGUGCCAGCAGCCGCGGUAAUACGUAGGUGGCAAGCGUUGUCCGGAAUUAUUGGGCGUAAAGCGCGCGCAGGCGGAUCUGCCAGUCUGUCUUAAAAGUUCGGGGCUCAACCCCGUGAUGGGAUGGAAACUACAGAUCUAGAGUAUCGGAGGGGAAAGUGGAAUUCCUAGUGUAGCGGUGAAAUGCGUAGAUAUUAGGAGGAACACCAGUGGCGAAGGCGACUUUCUGGACGAUCACUGACGCUGAGGCGCGAAAGCCAGGGGAGCGAACGGGAUUAGAUACCCCGGUAGUCCUGGCCGUAAACGAUGGGUACUAGGUGUAGGAGGUAUCGACCCCUUCUGUGCCGUAGUUAACGCAGUAAGUACCCCGCCUGGGGAGUACGGCCGCAAGGUUG
This 550-nucleotide ribosomal RNA is filed under the name uncultured bacterium. RNAcentral's name for it is "bacterial SSU rRNA". It matches the Rfam family "Bacterial small subunit ribosomal RNA", at positions 355 to 896 of the family's 1533-position model. The record is from RNAcentral.